UACGUAGGGUGCAAGCGUUGUCCGGAAUUAUUGGGCGUAAAGAGCUCGUAGGCGGUUUGUCGCGUCUGCUGUAAAAACGCGAGGCUCAACCUCGCGCCUGCAGUGGGUACGGGCAGACUAGAGUGCGGUAGGGGGAGAUUGGAAUUCCUGGUGUAGCGGUGGAAUGCGCAGAUAUCAGGAGGAACACCGAUGCGAAGGCAGAUCUCUGGGCCGUAACUGACGCUGAGGAGCGAAAAGCGUGGGGGAGCGAACAGG
RNAcentral lists this ribosomal RNA (255 nucleotides) under uncultured bacterium. RNAcentral describes it as "partial 16S ribosomal RNA". It matches the Rfam family "Bacterial small subunit ribosomal RNA", at positions 524 to 776 of the family's 1533-position model. The record is from RNAcentral.